RNAcentral lists this long non-coding RNA (3156 nucleotides) under Octopus vulgaris (common octopus). Lineage: Eukaryota; Metazoa; Mollusca; Cephalopoda; Octopoda; Octopodidae. The record is from RNAcentral.
CUCGCUUGUCCAGGUAAGUAACACUAAUUAUAGUACAGUAAAUAAAGUAGUUUAAGAUCUCAGCAACAUUAUUUCUGUUUGGAUCAAGCAAACAAACUGUUGUUAAUGCUGAAAAUAUGUUUUGUACUUCUUGUAUUAAAAACCUAUUAAAAAAAAAGACGAACUCUUGUAAGACUUCUGAAAAAUUGUUCUUUAGACUUCUUAAGAUCAGAAUUGCAGUAAACACACAGUGGUGUGGAUAAGAUGUUUGAUUCAUAAUCACACAGUUUAAGAGGUUGUUUGUUCUCUUACAUGGCAUCUUAAAUUAGAGGUUUCAAAUUUUGGUGCAAGGCUAGUAAAUUUUAGAGGGUAAGUGGGUAAGUCAAUUACACUGACCCCAGCACUUGACAGGUACUUUAUUUUAUCAAUCCCGAAAAAAAUGAAAGGCAAAGUCAACUUCAGUGGAAUUUGAACACAAAGCAUAAGAAGCCAGAAGCAAUGCCAUUAAGCAAUUUAUCUGAUGCUUUAACAAUUCUACAAGCUUGUCAAAGAGAACAGUGAAAAUAAGAGUCAAAGUGAACAAAUUUCAGUGCACACAUUCACAUACACACAUCAAUUUAUGCUUGUUGAUUACAAUAAUUUGACAUCAAUAUCCAUUGCUUCUACGAAAUUCAGACAAAAAAAAAGUUGUUUGUAUUUUCAUCAGAUGCACUACUAUUAAAGGAGGUUUAUAAUCAAUAUGGUAUUGCAUAGAGAGGUUUUGAUUUGUACAGACUUGCAAGUCCAAUGUAUUAAACAAUCCAAUGUUAUUAUUGACUGAUAAGGUAAAGGAGAGUCAUCUGAGAGAGAGAGAGGGCAGAGGGAGGGAGAAAAGUGAGAAAGAGAGAGAGAGAGAGAGAGAGAGAGAGAGAGCAUAAAGCUAUAUAUUUUAGGAAGGGACUGGGGUGUGUUUUGUCACACUCAGGCUUUUCUCUAAGUUAUAUAAAACAUACCUGAUGAAGAAUGCCUAAAUAAGGAAUUGAAACUGAAGCAGAAAUAACAGUGAAGGAGCUCACUUAUUCCUAUUUUCACAUCAUUUGUUAUAAAUGAAAUCUAGAAAUAUUUUACAUAAACCAGAACUGAAUGGAUAUUAUUAUUAUUUUUUUUUUCCAGUGGUAACACUAACUUUCAAUGGAAGUAAAAUAUGAAUUUGUCAAAAUAUGCCAUUAGUUUUCUAUAAACAAAUUGCAGAUGUCAGACUACAUACACACACACAUGAAAAAUAAAUAUAUACAGUAUUAAAAAUAUGUAUUUGAUAUAUUUGGUAUGUAGAAAUUAUUCCUCUAUUUAGGUUAAAAGAUAGAAAAAAAUUAUGAGUUGUAAUGUCAUUAGAAUACCAGCCUGGACAAAGGGUCAAUGUUACACACCCCAACCAAGACCAAUCACCACAGCUGCUAGCACUGAAUCCAUGAGAAAACACUUGAAUUUCAAUAGACUAUAAGACAGACAUUUUCUUCUUUGGCCAAGCCCUCAUCUUUUCAAGUUUCACUUAUAAGGGAAAAUAAGGGUUAAGAGGAACAUGCUACCCUCUCCUCUUCACCUCAGUAAAUUUGUUGAAAGAUGAAUGAGAAUGUAAACAUGGUCUAAGUAAAGGAGCCAACUUUCAGAAUGCAAAUCUAGAUGAAAGAAUGAGAGCUGAAAGAGGAUGCUUUUGUUAGAGUAAUCCAGAAUCUGUGAGGUUCCUUCACUGGUCUUAUGUGAUGGCCCUUCUCUCAGGACAUUAUAAAAAACAGAAAGUAUUGCACCAAAACUCUAAAUUGUUUCUAGAAUGCAUAGUGUAACAUCAUUCUUGUCUUUUCUUAGUUGAUUUCAAUGUAAAUCCCAAUACUACUUCUAACACUGUAAUGUCCCAUCAUCCAUUGCUCUUGUGGCAAAUAAAAAAAUCCUUAUUGGGAAUACAAAGAAAUACAGUUCAGCAUUGUAAGCAGUAUAAACCAACAAGGUAACCAAUAUACAGUUAGAAAUAAUGGCCAAAUCUCCCUCAAAUUGCACACUACAGACAAACAAAAAAUAAAAUAAAAGGACACAUUAAAUAAUGUAGUCUCAGAUACACUAUAUCAGGAAAAAAAAGGGCAUGGUUGGAACAUCAUUGAUCAUAGGUUUUCUCAAUUAGGGUUGACAUGGGUUAAACAAAAAAAUGUGGACAAUUGAUGAAUGCUUCAUUUGCUAGCCAUGCUCAGGACAUAUUGAGAUUAAAGGAAAAGAACAAAAAAUACCUUAUAAAAUAUACAAAACAAAAAAAGCACUCAUGCUGGCACCCGGUACGCUCUGUAAAGUGAUUGGCACAAGAAGGGCAUCCAUUCAUAGAAACCAUACAAAAACAGACAACUGGAGCCUGAGGCAGCCCUCUGGCUUGUCAUCUUCUGUCAAACUGUCCAACCCAUGCCAGCAUGGAAAACGGAUGUUAAAUGAUGAAUAUCAUUUACUGUCUUGUGAAAUGAAAUUUAGGGAUACUUUAUUAUUUUACAGUUUACAGUCAUAAUUGCAACUCCAAACAAAUUAGUUUAUAGCAAAAUUGAAGAAAUAGAAAGUAUUGCACCAAAAGUCUAAAUAAUUUCCAGAAUGCAUAGAGAAUAACAUCAUUCUUGUCUUUUAUUCUUUAGCUGGUUCCAUUUAUUGGUCUGUGUAUCUGCUGAAGAACUGCCUUGGAUGUGGAGUUUAGCUGAUCAAAUUGCUUCCAGUAUUCAUCUAUAUAUUUUCACCAAACUGUUAUAUAUGUUAGAAGAAUGUAAUCAAAUCAAUACUAGUUCUUAAAGAUAUAUGUGUGCACACACAUACACCUGAUUGUCACCAAGAUGAGGGAAUCAAAAAAUAUAUUCAUUAUGAACCAAAUCGUAAAUGUUCAAUCUUGGAUUUAAAUUUUUAUUCAUCUGAAGAAAACAUUUUUUUCAUGAUGCAACUGAUUUGUUCAUAAAAAAAAAAUGUGUCUGAAACAGAUGUAGUGAAGCUCAACCCAUCUGUGUUCUUAUUGUGUGUGUGAGUGUGUGUAUCAUCAUCAUUUAAUGUCCACUUUCCGUGCUGGCAUGGGUUGGGCAGUUUGACUGAGGACUGGAAAGCCAGAAGGCUGCACCAUGCUCCAAUCUGAUCUGGCAAGUUUUCUACAGCUGGAUGCCCUUCCUAAUGCCAACCACUCCGAGA